UACGUAGGGUGCGAGCGUUGUCCGGAAUUACUGGGCGUAAAGAGCUCGUAGGUGGUUUGUCGCGUUGUCCGUGAAAACUCACAACUCAAUUGUGGGCGUGCGGGCGAUACGGGCAGACUGGAGUACUGCAGGGGAGACUGGAAUUCCUGGUGUAGCGGUGGAAUGCGCAGAUAUCAGGAGGAACACCGGUGGCGAAGGCGGGUCUCUGGGCAGUAACUGACGCUGAGGUGCGAAAGCUAGGGGAGCAAACAGG
RNAcentral lists this ribosomal RNA (253 nucleotides) under uncultured bacterium. Its description in RNAcentral is "partial 16S ribosomal RNA". It matches the Rfam family "Bacterial small subunit ribosomal RNA", at positions 524 to 776 of the family's 1533-position model. The record is from RNAcentral.